UGGGGAAUAUUGGACAAUGGGGGGAACCCUGAUCCAGCCAUGCCGCGUGUGUGAAGAAGGCCUUAUGGUUGUAAAGCACUUUAAGCGAGGAGGAGGGUACUGGUAUUAAUACUACCAGGUACUGGACGUUACUCGCAGAAUAAGCACCGGCUAACUCUGUGCCAGCAGCCGCGGUAAUACAGAGGGUGCAAGCGUUAAUCGGAAUUACUGGGCGUAAAGCGCGCGUAGGUGGUUCGUUAAGUUGAAUGUGAAAGCCCCGGGCUCAACCUGGGAACUGCAUCCAAAACUGGCGAGCUAGAGUAGGGCAGAGGGUGGUGGAAUUUCCUGGGUAGCGGUGAAAUGCGUAGAUAUAGGAAGGAACACCAGUGGCGAAGGCGACCACCUGGGCUCAUACUGACACUGAGGUGCGAAAGCGUGGGGAGCAAACAGG
This 430-nucleotide ribosomal RNA is filed under the name Pseudomonadota bacterium. RNAcentral's name for it is "Proteobacteria bacterium partial 16S ribosomal RNA". It matches the Rfam family "Bacterial small subunit ribosomal RNA", at positions 355 to 776 of the family's 1533-position model. The record is from RNAcentral. Lineage: Bacteria; Pseudomonadati; Pseudomonadota.